CUUUCAUUCACUUUGAAAUUACAGGGCUUUGUUCUUGAUUCUUUGACGAGGGAUAGUUCCCGCUUGGGAUCCAAUCUUUAUCAAAGACAACGGAGGACAAUGGAGUGAUGGAUGUCUGUCAGCUUUGGCAAUACGGGAUAUUAGUGCGGUUCAAUUAGAAAGCUGUGCUCUAUAUAGUUAGAGCUCAGUUAUUUGAUUGAGCCGUGCCAAUAUCACGUAUGUAUACUACUGCUGAUGCUCACGGUUCCCUAUCACUCUCUUCUUCUCCAUUCAGUCCAGAACAAGGUAUAUUAUUGAUUUACUGAUUGUUUUACAUGAAAAAUGGGACCUUAUAUUAGUUGAAGCAUACCACUUUCCAUGUAGGCUAGAUUCUCUCUAGUCUUAGUGAAAUAUUUACUAGCAUGUUUGGCUAAGUGUAAAAAUGAGAAAAAAAGUUAUUUUAGGUAACAUUUUGUUUCUAAAUAUGCUUGAAUAGUUUUCACCAAGCCAAUCACAUAUGCUUCUUGAUUAAUAAUAAAAGUUAAUUUUGUUCGUGGCAUCUACUUGAACCUUUUUCUUAAAAAAUGAUCUAUUAUCAAAAUAACUCUUACUUUCGUGUUAAGCAACUCAGUAAAAUUUAUUUAUUUUACAGCUUAUUUACAUAAGGUAACACUUUUAAGCUUAGCCGAACAUGUUCUAAAGCUAGAGCUCAUACAAAUAACAUCUCACAAUCAGAGGAAUCACAGAGAAAAAGAACAUCUUAUGAUCAGCAGAGGAAUCACAGAGAAAAAGAACAUCUUAUGAUCAGAUCAGAUGGCUUAUAAAGAAAAAGAACAUCUUAUGAUAAGAUCAGAUGACAUAUUAGAGUCACCACACAGACGGUUUAGGUAAUUUUCUUUCAUCCGAUGCCAACCCUGUUCUCAAAACAUUUGGAGUCAGCUACAUGAAUAAUUUUCUUUCCAUUGUUAAAUCCCAGAUGAUAUAUAAUCAUUACAGUUUAACCUUUUACAUAUUUCAAAAAUUUUAUUAUAAAUAUGCUUUUCUCUAUUAAUUUUUGUCCUAAUUUUAUAGUGCAGCUCCUAGAAUCUUUCAGGCUCUUGUACACAACAUAAUGAUAUUAAUUCUUUUAUUAAUGUUACUAGUAAAAAACACAUGAAACAAUUGACACAAAAGUCUGUAAUAUUUGC
RNAcentral lists this long non-coding RNA (1166 nucleotides) under Olea europaea subsp. europaea. Lineage: Eukaryota; Viridiplantae; Streptophyta; Magnoliopsida; Lamiales; Oleaceae. The record is from RNAcentral.